RNAcentral lists this transfer RNA (74 nucleotides) under Phycisphaera sp. TMED151. RNAcentral describes it as "tRNA-Val". It matches the Rfam family "tRNA". From Rfam's summary of the family: Transfer RNA (tRNA) molecules are approximately 80 nucleotides in length. RNAcentral also lists the same sequence under 5 other names. The record is from RNAcentral. Lineage: Bacteria; Pseudomonadati; Planctomycetota; Phycisphaerae; Phycisphaerales; Phycisphaeraceae.
CCGCGCUUAGCUCAGUUGGCCAGAGCGGCUCGUUUACACCGAGUAGGUCGCUGGUUCGAGUCCAGCAGCGCGGA